RNAcentral lists this ribosomal RNA (369 nucleotides) under uncultured bacterium. Its description in RNAcentral is "bacterial SSU rRNA". It matches the Rfam family "Bacterial small subunit ribosomal RNA", at positions 29 to 426 of the family's 1533-position model. The record is from RNAcentral.
AACGAGCGCUGGCGGCAGGCUUAACACAUGCAAGUCGAACGGACCCUUCGGGGUUAGUGGCAGACGGGUGAGUAACGCGUGGGAACCUACCUAUAAGUACGGAACAACACAGAGAAAUUUGUGCUAAUACCGUAUGUGCUCUUUUGAGUAAAGAUUUAUCGCUUAUAGAUGGGCCCGCGUUAGAUUAGCUAGUUGGUGAGGUAACGGCUCACCAAGGCGACGAUCUAUAGCUGGUCUGAGAGGAUGAUCAGCCACACUGGGACUGAGACACGGUCCAGACUCCUACGGGAGGCAGCAGUGGGAAUAUUGCACAAUGGGCGAAAGCCUGAUGCAGCGACGCCGCGUGAACGAUGAGGGCUUUCGAGUCGU